CCGGACACAUUUUUGGAUCUCAAAAAUCCAAUCUUGUUUUCUUGUUUUUAUUUUCAAAAUUGGUUUUUGAAAAAUCAUUUUUAAAAACGUUACCGGACAAGAAGUGUUUUAAUCUCAACCACAUUUUAUUCGCCAAGGGUGAGUAACCACAAUAUUCAUGUUCAUUAGCGACCAAGUUUACAUUCUUAGCUAAUGUUCGGAUAGUGCAUACAAGAAGAGAUGCAAAUAAGGCAGCGAAUCUAAUGGCUGCACAGGCAUCUGCUACGGGCCAAGCUUCCUUUUAUUCUUUUGUUCCUUCUUUUCUUCAUAAGCUGUGACUGUACUACUCAACAAUGCUCGGAGAAUCCAUUCGAAACUCUACAAGCUGUGCCUCUUUGUUUAAUGUCAAAGCUGAACACUAUUUGCACAAGGACAUCCGGAAGAGAUGUAAGUCGUGAAGUACUCGUUGAAGAAUAGUGAAGUUUUGAGGACGAUGACCAUCUCUACGUUAAGGAAUAAUUGUGGAGAAGCAAAGGAGUUGCAGAGGAAUUUACGUAUGUUUCCAAGAGCUUCAGAGACGUGUGAGGUUGAGUCUAUAUGAGCUGCAACUUCAGGUUAUAAAUUCACUGAGGCCUUAAACACGUCUCACAGUAAUUUUACUUUGAAUUGUCCAGCUUUUGUUUUCAGAGGGAUUAAUUCUCUAUUGAAGUUGUAAAAGCACCAAGUUGACCGUACUAUAUAUGACUUUGAAUGGUCCAGCUAUUGUUUUCAGAGGGAUUAAUUCUUUAUUGAAGUUGUAAAAGCACCAUGUUGACCUUACUAUAUACGAAUCUAUUUGCAGUCGUUU
Long non-coding RNA from Rosa chinensis, 826 nucleotides. RefSeq lists it as uncharacterized. The record is from RefSeq and is a predicted model, not a curated record. The transcript has 2 exons. Lineage: Eukaryota; Viridiplantae; Streptophyta; Magnoliopsida; Rosales; Rosaceae.